RNAcentral lists this ribosomal RNA (664 nucleotides) under Heimiomyces neovelutipes. Its description in RNAcentral is "partial 18S ribosomal RNA". The stretch from base 308 to 461 matches the Rfam family "5.8S ribosomal RNA". The record is from RNAcentral. Lineage: Eukaryota; Fungi; Basidiomycota; Agaricomycetes; Agaricales; Mycenaceae.
CAAGGUUUCCGUAGGUGAACCUGCGGAAGGAUCAUUAUUGAAUUGAACCGUUGGACUGUUGCUGGCUCGUCAAAGAGCAUGUGCACGCCCUUCGACUUCUACCAUUUCCACCUGUGCACCUUUUGUAGUUCCAUUGGAAGGGAAGGCGAACUUGUCUCGAGGCAACUCGGGUUUGGGAGGUUGAGUGCCUUUGUGGGCGCGCUCCUUCCGCAGCCGUUCUGACCUUUGGUUCUAUGUUUUUAUACACUAUUGUAUGUCUAGAAUGUCUUGUGGCUAGCCGUAAAAAGCGACGCCUUAAACUUAAUACAACUUUCAACAACGGAUCUCUUGGCUCUCGCAUCGAUGAAGAACGCAGCGAAAUGCGAUAAGUAAUGUGAAUUGCAGAAUUCAGUGAAUCAUCGAAUCUUUGAACGCACCUUGCGCUCCUUGGUAUUCCGAGGAGCAUGCCUGUUUGAGUGUCAUUAAAUUCUCAACUCCUCCAGCUUUGGUUGGUUGGAGCUUGGAUGUGAGGGUUUGUGCGGGCCUCUCUCGAGAGGUCGGCUCCCUUGAAAUGCAUUAGCGGAACGUCUUCGCGGACCGUCACCUGGUGUGAUAAUUAUCUACGCCUACUGACUGAUGUGAAAUGGUUCAGCUUUCUAACCGUCCUUAGGGACAACUCUUGACA